This 528-nucleotide ribosomal RNA is filed under the name uncultured bacterium. RNAcentral's name for it is "partial 16S ribosomal RNA". It matches the Rfam family "Bacterial small subunit ribosomal RNA", at positions 355 to 873 of the family's 1533-position model. The record is from RNAcentral.
UGGGGAAUUUUGGACAAUGGGCGAAAGCCUGAUCCAGCAAUGCCGCGUGUGUGAAGAAGGCCUUCGGGUUGUAAAGCACUUUUGUCCGGAAAGAAAUCCUUGGCUCUAAUACAGUCGGGGGAUGACGGUACCGGAAGAAUAAGCACCGGCUAACUACGUGCCAGCAGCCGCGGUAAUACGUAGGGUGCAAGCGUUAAUCGGAAUUACUGGGCGUAAAGCGUGCGCAGGCGGUUUGCUAAGACCGAUGUGAAAUCCCCGGGCUCAACCUGGGAACUGCAUUGGUGACUGGCAGGCUAGAGUAUGGCAGAGGGGGGUAGAAUUCCACGUGUAGCAGUGAAAUGCGUAGAGAUGUGGAGGAAUACCGAUGGCGAAGGCAGCCCCCCUGGGCCAAUACUGACGCUCAUGCACGAAAGCGUGGGGGAGCAAAACAGGAUUAGAUACCCUGGUAGUCCACGCCCUAAACGAUGUCAACUAGUUGUUGGGGAUUCAUUUCCUUAGUAACGUAGCUAACGCGUGAAGUUGACCGCC